This 534-nucleotide ribosomal RNA is filed under the name Situlaspis yuccae. RNAcentral describes it as "eukaryotic LSU rRNA". Lineage: Eukaryota; Metazoa; Arthropoda; Insecta; Hemiptera; Diaspididae. The record is from RNAcentral.
AUCUGGGCGGCGAAAUUCAGGAUGGCUGAGCGGGCCUCGUGCACGUUCGGCCGUCUGAUGUUUUCGUCGCCGUUGCAGACGUCGCGACCUGUUUGUCGUCGGUCCCUGCUCCGAGGAGUCGCCGUCGAGCUCGUUGCGGGCGCGUUUCGGCGCGUCUCGCGGCGAAGGCGGCGAGUCUCUGGCUGACGACGGACAGUAAGCAACGGUGGCCGACGUCGUCUUUCGAGAACGGCGUCGGUGCCGGUCGGCGACGAUUUCUUCGGGCCUCUUUCCGACCCGUCUUGAAACACGGACCAAGGAGUCUAAUAUGCGCGCGAGUCGCGGGGUAUCGAGCGUACUACGGUGCGUUCGUUACGUCACGAAACCCGUAAUGUUGAAGGCGUAAUGAAAGUGAAUGGGGAAGAUGGCGUUCCGAGUACACGUUCCGUGGUCUCGUAUCGCGGCCGGACGCCCGCAUUCCCGGGGCGUCUCAACGGCUCGUCGCGGAUGCGGACGGUCGUCUCUCGGGGCGGCCGUCGGUCUGCGACGGACCGA